Molecule: long non-coding RNA, 4821 nt
Filed under: Sus scrofa (pig)
Lineage: Eukaryota; Metazoa; Chordata; Mammalia; Artiodactyla; Suidae
Description: lncRNA (ENSSSCG00055000056.1)
Source: RNAcentral
UUUUUUUUUUUUUUUGGAACUAAAAUAAAAGUAAGGUUAGUAAUGUUAAACAUACUUAGUAACUGUCAGCAAGUUUAAGGAGCAUUGAUUUAACCAUAGAAAUGAAAUACUUUGCGUAAGCCAUGGGUUAGUGAGGAAAACUACCUCAGUCCUCCCCCUCAUUCCUCCUCUUUGUCCUCUUUCAGCUACACUUUGCCCAUUCUCCCUAGCUCCACACCCUCUUACACUGCUGUGCAAAGUCACUGCCCCUCAGAAAAGUUGAAAAUGCCCUUAGGCAUGCAACAAUGGCAGAAUAAUCUCCUUAGAAUUUUACAAAUGCUUUAUCUUUAUCUGAUUCAUGGAAUAAUGACCUUGUUUCAAGCCCCACAGUUCAUGGGCAUCCCCUAGCUUUAUUAUGAUCUGGGGCUAAAAUUAACACUCAAAAACAAAGAAAGUACAAUCCCUGAUAGUUGUGAGAGAAAGUAGACAGUUGUAAGCAAUAUUUCCAGCAAAUAAAAAACAUACUGGGCAAUGGAAAUAAAACAUUAGUAUUUAGUAGAAGAAAGAAAAUUAGGGAGAGUCAUUUUAAAGAAUAUUAUUAGUAUUACAGAAUAUAUGAUUAGAAAAAUUAAUCAUGUAGACUUUUUGAAUUUACCAACUUAAUUUUUGUCAUGUACAAUAGAAAUUAUGCCAUGUCAAAGAAAAUGACCAUUUCCUAAUACUUCCCACAACUAAUAAAAGGUAAAUCUUAAAUACAGUAUGCCUUGAUACCACUAUUCUAAAAUAUGGACACACUCAAGACAGUCAUACAAUGAACAAACAGAAUGAGAACUAAAAAUGCCUCUUCUGCAUAAGCAAAUGUGCUCAAACUCAAGUCAUGCUAAGAUAAGUGCAGAUAAAGUUAUACUGAGAUACAUAUUUUUAACCUAUCAGAUUUACAGAGAUCAACAAAUUAGAGUACAUAGUUGGCCAGGCUGGUUGAUGAAUAAAUUGCUGAGAUCUAUCACAGUUACAAGUACUCACCUUUCUUGUUCUAACAGUUCAAGCUCUAGGAGUUCAUUCUCCAGAUAUACUAGAACAUCUGCAAAAUGAUAAUAUCUACAAGGUUACCAAUUAUAGCAUUUCAUAUGAUUCAACAUAGUAGCAAAAAAUUGAAAAAAAAUCAAAUAUGCAAAGUAGAGAAUUGAUUAAAAUAUUCUCCUACAAUGUGAUGCUACACAUCCAUAGCAAAUAAUGAGGAAGAUCUCAGUGAACUCAUGUAAAAUAAAAAUACCUCUCAACUAUAUUAAGGGGAAAAAACCAAGGGACUAUGUAUAAACUACUUAAAAACAUACAUAGUUUAUAUAACAUGCCACCAUUUGUUUAAAGAGAAGACAAAAAUAAUAUAUGAGUGCAUUUUUAUCAAAGAUCUAGGAAUGAACAGGAAAGAAUGGACAGCACUGGUUGUUGGUGGGAGAAGGGGGGAAGUGGGUGAGUGGGUGGAGAAUUAGGUGGAUAAGUAAAAGAGAGGGAGAAAGACCUUCCUUUUUUCUUCUUUGCCUAUUGCAUUUUGAAUCAUGGGAAUAUAUUACCUUUAAAAAGUAAACAUAGAUUAUUAAAACAUAAAGUCAAUUUUACUAGCUCUAAAGUAAAUUGUUGAUAUACACUUACAAUUUAUAAUACACAUAUUGACAUUUAAAACUGUCUUAAAACUUAAUUUUAUAGUAGGUAAUAGCACCACUACUAUACUAAUCUUUUUUUUUUUUUUCUGGCCACACAUGCGGCAUGUGGAAGUUCCUAGGCUAGGGAUCAAACCCACGCCACAGCAGCAACCCAAGAAACAAUCCCCAUAUUCCGAAUAAUUUCUAAAAUUUGACCUUUGCCGAGAUUUCUCCCACCACAAGAAGAAAAUUUCUGAUUCAUAAUCAGCAAUCUUUCUCGCCAUUGGUGAACAAUGACUCUUAAGCAUAUUCGGUUCCACCUGGGCCACGGUCAACUAAGGACAUCCAAAAGUUUCAGUUGUGUUUGGGUUUGUGCAGGAGUCAGACAUUUUCCUGCUCCUAAUCAUGACCCUACACUCAGAUAGGAGACCAAAACCUGUGCCUGCACUAAGCUAAAAACCCAGAUUAGGGUUGUAUAUGUACUUUAGAGAGAAGCAAGAGGAGUUAAUAUCAUUGGAAUGAAUCUGAUAGUUGGGGGGGGGGGCGGAUGACUAGGUAGCAGAGAAAAUGGAUGGUUGGUACAUUUUUUUCCCCAAAUCCUGGAAGAUCAGGCUGAAUGAAAAAAAUAUGUUCUUCCACUUAUGCUGCAUUUCUUUUACGUCAACGCUCUAUUUAAAUCCGCUGUCCCAUGAACCAGCCGAAGAGUCAUAAUUUAUCUAACAGAGACAAAAUCUGACGACAGGAUAUCUCUCCAACCCAAUGUUGGAUUUGUUGACACUUGAGAUGAAACUCAGGAACUUUUAUUUAAAUAGAAUUGUCACUGUAUUUUAGUUUAACUGAUAACAUUACAGUUUGGGUGGAAAUGCUGUUUGUGUGGUUAAAACUUCAGACUGUUUGCCAGGAAGUCUGUCUUUUAAACUUUGAUGACGGUCUUAUUUGUUAGAAAUAAGACAGGCUCUGAGAGAGAACAAGAGAACGGAGUGUGAAGGUUACAAACACCAAGUGGGGUGGGGAGAGAACCGAGGAUAUGGACAAUUAAAAAAUAACAAAAUCUGCUUUCUGCAAGCCAUGUGCUUUGAGAAACACAUGGUAACCUGAAUGACUCAGACACUGCCUCCUCUUUCUGUUGUAUUGUGUAUGGAUCUGCUUGUGUAAUAAACCCUCAACUUCCAUUUGGAAGUACAUAAGUGAUAUUUAAUUUUCCUUCUAUUGAAUUAAAAAUGUUGUUUAUUUCCGUUCCUGAGAUUUUUAUGAAGGCUGUGGGGCUGAACCAUGCAUAUAUUAUUUUUUUCUUUUUUAGAAAAAGAAUUGAGAAUAUUUGAUUGCUAAAUACAGAGCUGGGAAUGAUUCACAGAAUGUGAUGGCUGAGGAGGAGGAAGUGGUGGUGUGCUGCUUGAAGACAUGCAAAUACAGUGUUUUAGGUCAUGUCUUAGCAGAUGAGUUUCCAGUAUAUGCUUUACUUAUCCUUCUUCGUAUCUCUAAAGAAUAUGAGGUAUUUACUGACUCCUUUUCCGGGAGUGAAAUUGGGAUUCCCAACUGGAAACUACAAAAGUUCACAAAGAUAACUGGGGAGUGGCAGUUGGCUCCUAGAAACUUCACUGAUGAAUCGUUUGGAAGUAAAUUGGAGUACUAGAAUUAAGACUUGGCUAUGUCUCUCUGUAUGGAGAGAGAUACAGAAUUAUGAGCUGGAAAAAACUUUUGAAAUAUAGUUAAAAUAUUUUACAAAAACAUUUUAUAUGAAGAGAACAAAAUAUAGAAAUUUAAAGAUUUAGCUUAAAUCCUUUGAUUUGUACCUGCACAAUCAAUGACUUGCAUUUGGCGGUGGCGGGGGGGGGGGGNGGGGGGGGGGGGUCAUGUACAAUGAAUGGUAUCAUUUUGAAUUGUCUUUCAAGUCUGAUAAUCCCCAUACAUAACCUUUCCAUUAAAAAUGUCUCUGAUUUUCAAUGGAUUUACUGUUUUCAACAAAGUUUGGAUCAGGAAAUUUGCCUUUAGCUUAAGGCUUUUCUGACCUUCAAAAUCAAGGGCCUCCAUCCUAAUCCUACUUCCCUCUCAUGCUCCCUAAACUGACAUUGCAGAUGCACCUGGGCUGUGGUACGUGCUUCAAAGCUGGUUUGGAAAAGGAGCCAAAGGUGUCACCAUAUCAGACAAAUAUUUCUUCAUCAGUUUACGUCUGGUUUCUAAACCAUGGAGAAUGAAAGCUAAGCGUCUAAGACAAGGCCAGUUCAAUGGAGAGAAAAGCAUAUUGACAAGUAGCGGGUACUAUGGUGGGCACAGAAGUCAGACAGUAGAAUAUCUAUGAAGAAAUGGUCAUGGGGGUUAAAUAUUCCCUUUGAUCUCAAGAAUCUACAGCUGAGGAGUUCCCCUGACUGACGAUUCCACUUAUAGCCUGGCCUUUAAACCUUCAAUAAUGAGAAACACUUAGCUCCGUUUAUUCAGUUCAUCUUUAUCGAGCACCAUAGACACAAACAGGGCUAUCUCAGGUGGACUACAGUGUUCCUUUAGGUGACUUGAAACCCUGUUCCCAUAGUUACAAUAGCUCAUCACUGAUCUUUAGGAUGUAUCCAUAUGCUUUCUUCUCUGUUACCAAUCAUUUUAUUUUCACACUUGGAAAAGUUUGUUAGCAUGUAAACAGCUUGAUUCUCAAGUCAGCAAAUCAGAGGAUUUAAAUGUAUGUAGGAAAAAUGCAAAAUGUUAUGGCAGUUUGUAGAUUUGAAAUAAUACUUUGCGCUUUCCUUCUCAUGGCCUUUGUGUGCUCCAGCCCCUUCCUCUACCUCUCUGUACCUCAUUAUAUGCUCAUACAAGUGUACAUAUGUUCACACAUUGAAUGGUAGUGAGAGAUGGCCUUUUUCUCUACGACAGAACUUUAAAAACAUGCAAGUAUUUUUGCCCUCUGCAAAGGUCCCAUAGAUAAUCAAGGUAAUUUUUUUUCUUUUUUAAAGUAUCAAUGAUAGUCUGAGAGGUGUCAUUUCUAAGUUUCGUUUGAGCAAACUGUGGAGAUUGUCAUAUUUGGCCAGGUGACCCUCAAGCUCUAGUUUGAAGCAGAGAUUGGGGUGUGAAUCAAGAGCACCUACCUGUGUGAUGGCCAGCAGUCUAUGAGAUGAUCUGAUGUGAGAUUUCUUCUAGAAGCUCUGCUCACACCAGAUAGUGAGAAAAUAAUUAGAGGCUUUCUUUCCUGGUAAGUGCUUUCUAAUCAGAUACAUUC